GCUGAUGAAACCAACAAAAACAUAGAAGAAGAGAGAGUUAGCCCCCAGUGUGUGAUUGUAAAAAUUGUCGAAGAGGAUUCGGUUGUUUUGGUUAAAACGGACUUUUUUUAAAUGACUAAUUAACCUCAUGCGUUGCACUGGUAAGGAAUUCUCGAAAGAAUUAUUCUCCUUUUCUUUCGUUAACUUUUUUUAUUCAAAUCCUCGGACUACUUCGUGGCAAACUUAACUUGUCUUAAGAAAGGCUCCGUGGCCUCGCGGGUCAGUCACCAUGAGUUACGGUCGGCCUCCGCCAGACAUCGAUGGCAUGACUUCUCUCAAGGUGGAUAAUUUAACAUACCGAACUUCGCCUGAAACCCUCAGACGAGUCUUCGAGAAGUAUGGCCGGGUGGGGGACGUGUACAUACCUCGGGACCGCUACUCAAAAGAAAGCCGGGGAUUUGCGUUUGUUCGGUUUCACGACAAACGUGACGCCGAAGAUGCGAUGGAUGCCAUGGACGGCGCGCUGCUGGACGGACGGGAGUUACGGGUCCAGAUGGCCAGAUACGGAAGACCCCCUGAUUCCCAUCAUGGCGGAGGAAGGAGAGGAGGAUCCACCCGGAGGUCCAGUGGCCAUGGACGACGAAGCAGAAGCCGUUCUUCCAGCCCAAGACACAAAAGACGCAGCAGGUCCCGCAGCCGGAGCCACUCUCGAAGUCGGUCCAGAUUCAGCAGAUCCAGGUCCAGGUCAUACUCCAGAUCUAAAUCCCACUCCCCCAGGAACAAGAAGACCAAGACUCGUUCUCCAUCCAGAUCUAGAUCCAGGUCCCACUCCAAAUCCAGGUCCAGAAGUCAAACACCUUCCUCUAAAAGAGGGUCCAGGUCUAGGUCUAAAAGCCAGCCCAAGUCAUCGGCAGAAAAUGGAGGAGAAUCCCCGUAGAGCUCUGCAGCUUUGUGACAGUUCGGGAUGAAGACAUCAGAACCCCCAGAGUGGAUCUCAUGCAAACAGCGGCGACCAGUUUCAAAAGACGCAGUUGUGUAGCAGUUGAGUUUUGCUGGUUAGCUGUUAAGGUGGCGUGUUGGGUGCUUGGAUGUAUCCAGUAUUCUCCAGAAUGCUCCUGUGACCACACUGACUGACCCGAGUUAGCAUACAUCUACAGCCAUGGGCUCCUCUAUUGAACUGAGCCAAGACCUGAAAAUGAAGCUUAUUGAAGCAUACAAGGAUGGGAAAGGUUAUAAGAAGAUAUCAAAGCGUUUUGGAUUCUCAAUUUCCACCAUACGGAACAUCAUCAGGAAGUGGAAGUCAACAGGAACUGUGGAAGUGAAGACAAGAUCGGGUAGACCAAAAAAAAUCUCAGAGCAAACAGCACAUCUGCUGGGCAGAACGGCAACAGAGAACCCCCACAUGACUGCCAAGGACCUGCAGGAAGGAUUAGCUGAUGCUGGAGUGCUGGUGCACACGUCCACUGUGCAGCGAUGUUUGAACAAACAGGGACUACGUGGCAGAGUCAGAAGGAAUGCUCAGAAGGAGGCUGCACCAGAAAAGACUGCAUCUGAAGCUGGGAAAGAAAAGUCUGAAUAAGUCUGUCACUAUGACAACAAGAGCUGAUGGACAGAAUGUAUGAAGACACAAAGCUGGGUGUUUCACCUGGGUGAACUGCAGAGACCACAGUCUGAAGUAAAACCAACUCGGCUGCAAGCGAAGGACUUAGAGACAACACGACAAUCUGCCUUUUAGUUUUAUGUCUCCGUCUGCAAAUGUAAGAUUUCAUCUGUGGAAACAGACGAUUUUCACUUGUGUUAAACUAAAGAUCAUCCUCAUCAUGUACAGCAGCCGUUUUAGACACUUACCGCCUCUUUUUAGUUUACUGAAAUCCAAAGGGGUGAUAUGAAGCAAAAUCUGUGUGGUCACAGAGGAGUUUCACCUCUUACAGGGUUUGCAGCUAAAACAACCUGUGUGGGUGUAAUUGCACAUGUGAAAGUAGCUUCUUUAGGCCAGUCAGUUCUCUUUGUAACUAUAUAUGUAUAUAUAUAUACCAGCUCAGUGUUUUAGACAUUGUCUAAACACUAUAACUUUGUGACCUUAAAGCUAGGAAACCACACUUCACAACUUUUGCUUCCAUCCCAAAGCAUCACUGUACAGCAGCAUUUACACUUUAAAGCAAAUUAGUCCCAAAGUUUCUCAGAAGUUGAAGUAAUGUGCAAAGAAAAGUGUCUGAAGUGUGAUAAAUUGAUACUAAAGCAGAUCUUUUAUUUAAUAACCUGUGAUGAUCUACCUGAAGUUCAUAAAGCAUGAGAGAGGAAUCUGUAAACGACUGCUGCUGUUAAAUGUUGAUCAAUGCUGGACUGAGCUUGAAUGUUCAUUCUUCUCAAUUCUCAGUACUGCUGGUUAGAUGUUAAAUGUUGUAUUUUUCUGUAUGAAUCCAGUCCCUUUCAGGACUGUAGAACUGAGUUCACCUACAGUCUGAGUGAUGAGAUGCAGAUAUCUAUCGUAUUUUCUGUGUUAAAGUUGUGAAAUCA
This is an RNA transcript of Melanotaenia boesemani (Boeseman's rainbowfish), 2496 nucleotides long. It is a transcript of the gene named serine and arginine rich splicing factor 2b, with no coding region annotated. Lineage: Eukaryota; Metazoa; Chordata; Actinopteri; Atheriniformes; Melanotaeniidae. The record is from RefSeq and is a predicted model, not a curated record. The transcript is spliced from 5 exons.